UCAAACUUGGUCAUUUAGAGGAAGUAAAAGUCGUAACAAGGUUUCCGUAGGUGAACCUGCGGAAGGAUCAUUAUUGAAUAACUUGGUGUUGAGCUGGCCCUACUCGGGCAUGUGCUUGCAUCAUAUUAUUUAUCUAUCUCUUGUGCACCUUUUGUAGUCUUUGAAGUGUUCGCAGUCAAUGCGGUAUUGGGUCUUGGGCUUUGCCCUGUUCCCUGUUAGCUUCAAGGGCUAUGUUUAUAUACACUAGUUUGAAGUCACAGAAUGUAUCUUAUUGACUUUCGAGUCGGUAAAUCUAUACAACUUUCAGCAACGGAUCUCUUGGCUCUCCCAUCAAUGAAGAACGCAGC
This 347-nucleotide unclassified non-coding RNA is filed under the name uncultured fungus. RNAcentral's name for it is "partial contains small subunit ribosomal RNA, internal transcribed spacer 1, and 5.8S ribosomal RNA". The stretch from base 1 to 73 matches the Rfam family "Eukaryotic small subunit ribosomal RNA", at positions 1759 to 1831 of the family's 1831-position model. The record is from RNAcentral. Lineage: Eukaryota; Fungi.